RNAcentral lists this ribosomal RNA (403 nucleotides) under Bacteroidetes bacterium enrichment culture clone LiUU-16-794. Its description in RNAcentral is "bacterial SSU rRNA". It matches the Rfam family "Bacterial small subunit ribosomal RNA", at positions 509 to 916 of the family's 1533-position model. The record is from RNAcentral. Lineage: Bacteria; Pseudomonadati; Bacteroidota.
CAGCCGCCGCGGUAAUACGGAGGAUCCAAGCGUUAUCCGGAAUCAUUGGGUUUAAAGGGUCCGUAGGCGGUUUAAUAAGUCAGUGGUGAAAGCCCAUCGCUCAACGGUGGAACGGCCAUUGAUACUGUUAAACUUGAAUUAUUAGGAAGUAACUAGAAUAUGUAGUGUAGCGGUGAAAUGCUUAGAGAUUACAUGGAAUACCAAUUGCGAAGGCAGGUUACUACUAAUGGAUUGACGCUGAUGGACGAAAGCGUGGGUAGCGAACAGGAUUAGAUACCCUGGUAGUCCACGCCGUAAACGAUGGAUACUAGCUGUUGGGAGCAAUCUCAGUGGCUAAGCGAAAGUGAUAAGUAUCCCACCUGGGGAGUACGUUCGCAAGAAUGAAACUUAAAUGAAUUGACGG